UACGAAGGGGGCUAGCGUUGUUCGGAAUUACUGGGCGUAAAGGGCUCGUAGGCGGCCAACUAAGUCAGACGUGAAAUCCCUCGGCUUAACCGGGGAACUGCGUCUGAUACUGGAUGGCUUGAGUUCGGGAGAGGGAUGCGGAAUUCCAGGUGUAGCGGUGAAAUGCGUAGAUAUCUGGAGGAACACCGGUGGCGAAGGCGGCAUCCUGGACCGACACUGACGCUGAGGAGCGAAAGCCAGGGGAGCAAACGGG
This 253-nucleotide ribosomal RNA is filed under the name uncultured bacterium. Its description in RNAcentral is "partial 16S ribosomal RNA". It matches the Rfam family "Bacterial small subunit ribosomal RNA", at positions 524 to 776 of the family's 1533-position model. The record is from RNAcentral.